This 361-nucleotide ribosomal RNA is filed under the name Migonemyia migonei. Its description in RNAcentral is "partial 12S ribosomal RNA". The record is from RNAcentral. Lineage: Eukaryota; Metazoa; Arthropoda; Insecta; Diptera; Psychodidae.
AUUAUUAAAAUAUAAAUAAUUAUUUUUAGAUUAGUAUUAAAUAUAUUUAUGAAAUUAAAAUAAUUUGGCGGUAUUUUAGUCUAUUCAGAGGAAUUUGUUUUAUAAUUGAUAAUCCGCAUUAUAUCUUACUUAUUAUAUUUAAUUUGUAUAUCGUUGUCAUUAGAAUAUUUUAUAAGAAUUAUAAUUUUCUUAAAUUAUUUAAAAUUUUAUGUCAAAUCAAGGUGCAGUUUAUAAAUAAGAAAAAAUGAAUUACAAUAAUAUUUAAUUAAAAUGGAUUAAAAAUUGAAAUAUUUUUAUGAAGGUGGAUUUGAUAGUAAAUUUUAGAAUUAUAUAAAAUUGAUUAUAGCUCUAAAAUAUGUAC